This 271-nucleotide ribosomal RNA is filed under the name uncultured bacterium. RNAcentral describes it as "partial 16S ribosomal RNA". It matches the Rfam family "Bacterial small subunit ribosomal RNA", at positions 15 to 286 of the family's 1533-position model. The record is from RNAcentral.
GAUCCUGGCUCAGGGUGAACGCUGGCGGCGUGCCUAAGACAUGCAAGUCGGGCGGGCCAUGGGGUUUUACUCCGUGGUCAGCGGCGGACGGGUGAGUAACGCGUGGGUGACCUACCCGGAAGUGUGGGACAACCCGGGGAAACUCGGGCUAAUCCCGCAUGUGGUCAUGUCCUGUGGGGCAUGAUUAAAGGGCGAGAGUCCGCUUCCGGAUGGGCCCGCGUCCCAUCAACUAGUUGGUGGGGUAAAGGCCCACCAAGGCGACGACGGGUAG